CGCAAGGCCAGGCCCUGGGCCUCCCCGGGCCUCAGUGGGACUUGCCGCGCCAGGGACCCCGGGGGGGCUCCAGGACUCAGUUUCCCCUUCCUCAUUCCUCCAGACAGAGAGAGUACUGACAGCUGCUUUAGCUGCCGUUUAGUGAGCGCUUAUCCAGUGGGUGACCCUGUUCCGGGGCUCACUGUGCCUUCAUUCUAACACCUAAUCCCAGGGUCAUUAUUAUGUUUUAUUAUUAUCUGGCAUUCUUAGUACCAACACCACCUGACAGCGGGAACCACCACCGGCCUGGGUGUAGUGUACCCAGCCUGUCCUCUGACUUCAAAGCCUCUCCUGCGAGAGACACAGUUUAUGGCUUCUUCGCACAAUUUAUUAAAAGCGCCUUUCAACACCCAAACGGGUUGGAUUGGCUUUUGUAAUAAUAAUCUGGCUACGAGGGGAAACCCGGGAGGGCCCCCCGGAGGGGAAGUGGACUGUCUCAGGACUCGCAGCCUGAAACCAGCCGGGUAGGUGGGAAGGGACCCAGGGAGGGGCCGCGUGGAUCUAGGGCGAGGGUGUCAUCCAGGGACUUUGCUCCAAGGACCCUGCCUGGGAUAGAAAUCCUUCUUCCUUCAACCACCGGCCAUCAGCCUCGGGACCAGGAGGCCACGCUGAAGCACGAUUCUUCCCAGAUCCCACUGUUGUGUUUGGAUUUCUGCAAAUGAUGCCCAGACGUUUUUUUUUGUUUUGUUUUUUUGUUUUUUGUUUUAGACAGACUUGCUCUGUCGCCCAGCCUGGAGUGCAAUGGCACGAUCUUGGCUUACUGCAAUCUCCGCCUCCCGGGUUCAAGCGAUUCCCCUGCCUCAGCCUCCUGAGUAGCUGGGAUUACAGGCACCUGCCACCACGCCCGGCUAAUUUUUUUUUUUUUUUUUGUAUUUUUAGUAGAUACAGAGUUUUGCCAUGUUGGCAAGCCUGGUCUCAAACUCUUGACUUCAGGUGAUCCAACCACCUUGGCCUCCCAAAGGGCUGGGAUUACAGGCGUGAGCCACCGUGGCUGGCCUUGGUUUUUUUUGUUUGUUUGUUUUGUUUUUUGUUUUUUUAAUAGAGAUUUGGUGGGGCCGUGGGGGGGUCUUGCUAUGUUUCCCAGGUCUCAAACUCCUGGGCUUCAGUGUUCCUCCCACCUGAGCCUCCCACAGUGCUGAGAUGACAGGAAUGAACCAUCGUGCCAGCGAGACGCCCAGGCUCUAAGCUCUACAUGGUCUAACUUCCCCCACACCAGGAGCAGCAGGUGACUCAGUUUCCCCUCUUGUACCACCAGCCUCAGAUCCGAUCCUGCAGGAAAAGGAUCGAGAAAGCCCCACUCGGAUUCUCCAUGGUGAGAACCUGACUCAGAGGGGCAGGGGCUCCUCUGUGAGACGGGCAUGGACCCUAAUCCUCAUCGCAGCCCUGAGAAGAAGCAGAGACUACAAUUUCCACCAUACAGUUGGGGAAACUGAGGCCCAGAGAUGGACAAGGAGCAAGGAUGUUAAGUCCAGCAUUCGCGUGUCUCUGGACGCUGCCAGGGGGACCAAAGGGAG
RNAcentral lists this long non-coding RNA (1553 nucleotides) under Homo sapiens (human). RNAcentral's name for it is "HSALNT0395704". Lineage: Eukaryota; Metazoa; Chordata; Mammalia; Primates; Hominidae. The record is from RNAcentral.